RNAcentral lists this ribosomal RNA (429 nucleotides) under Triticum aestivum (bread wheat). RNAcentral's name for it is "partial small subunit ribosomal RNA". Lineage: Eukaryota; Viridiplantae; Streptophyta; Magnoliopsida; Poales; Poaceae. The record is from RNAcentral.
AUGAAGGAAAGCACACGAUGCAGAAAGGACGAUGUUCUCACUUAUGGGAUGCAGUUUAAGUCAUUUUUUGACGCCUGUCCAAAGGCAUUCAGUGGUCUGGCAAGACUCAAGCUAGAAAAUUUGAGGCUAGCUGAAUCAUCGGGCUUCCCUGAAAUUCUCAGUGUAUGCAAGCAACUGGAGUUCCUCCGCCUGUAUAACUGCGACAUGGGGUACCUUUCUUUGCUAGAAGUGUCACACCCACUACUCUGUGAACUCGAGAUUGUCAAGUGUGAUUUUGAGAGGGUUGAUCUCGUGUGGCUACCAAAUCUCAAAAUGCUGACUUAUUCUUGGUGGGUCUGUGAGCAUGAUCCUUUGUCUUUUGAUUAUGUCCCACUGCUCCAGACUCCGAGCCUCACCAGUAUGGCUCACGGCACAAGGUGCUCAAGUUAA